RNAcentral lists this ribosomal RNA (800 nucleotides) under Corynebacterium sp. YIM 102419. RNAcentral describes it as "bacterial SSU rRNA". It matches the Rfam family "Bacterial small subunit ribosomal RNA", at positions 61 to 863 of the family's 1533-position model. The record is from RNAcentral. Lineage: Bacteria; Bacillati; Actinomycetota; Actinomycetes; Mycobacteriales; Corynebacteriaceae.
GUCGAACGGAAAGGCCCCUAGCUUGCUGGGGGUACUCGAGUGGCGAACGGGUGAGUAACACGUGGGUGAUCUGCCCUGCACUUCGGGAUAAGCUUGGGAAACUGGGUCUAAUACCGGAUAUGAACGGUCUUUGGUGUGAUUGUUGGAAAGAUUUUUUCGGUGUGGGAUGAGCUCGCGGCCUAUCAGCUUGUUGGUGGGGUAAUGGCCUACCAAGGCGUCGACGGGUAGCCGGCCUGAGAGGGUGUACGGCCACAUUGGGACUGAGAUACGGCCCAGACUCCUACGGGAGGCAGCAGUGGGGAAUAUUGCACAAUGGGCGCAAGCCUGAUGCAGCGACGCCGCGUGGGGGAUGAAGGCCUUCGGGUUGUAAACUCCUUUCGCUAGGGACGAAGCCUUUUUUAAGGUGACGGUACCUGGAUAAGAAGCACCGGCUAACUACGUGCCAGCAGCCGCGGUAAUACGUAGGGUGCAAGCGUUGUCCGGAAUUACUGGGCGUAAAGAGCUCGUAGGUGGUUUGUCGCGUCGUCUGUGAAAUUCCGGGGCUUAACUCCGGGCGUGCAGGCGAUACGGGCAUAACUUGAGUGCUGUAGGGGAGACUGGAAUUCCUGGUGUAGCGGUGAAAUGCGCAGAUAUCAGGAGGAACACCGAUGGCGAAGGCAGGUCUCUGGGCAGUAACUGACGCUGAGGAGCGAAAGCAUGGGUAGCGAACAGGAUUAGAUACCCUGGUAGUCCAUGCCGUAAACGGUGGGCGCUAGGUGUAGGGGGCUUCCACGUCUUCUGUGCCGUAGCUAACGCAUUAA